CCGGGGAGGGUCAUUGGAAACUGGGGAACUUGAGUGCAGAAGAGGAGAGUGGAAUUCCACGUGUAGCGGUGAAAUGCGUAGAGAUGUGGAGGAACACCAGUGGCGAAGGCGACUCUCUGGUCUGUAACUGACGCUGAGGAGCGAAAGCGUGGGGAGCGAACAGGAUUAGAUACCCUGGUAGUCCACGCCGUAAACGAUGAGUGCUAAGUGUUAGGGGGUUUCCGCCCCUUAGUGCUGCAGCUAACGCAUUAAGCACUCCGCCUGGGGAGUACGGUCGCAAGACUGAAACUCAAAGGAAUUGACGGGGGCCCGCACAAGCGGUGGAGCAUGUGGUUUAAUUCGAAGCAACGCGAAGAACCUUACCAGGUCUUGACAUCCU
This 379-nucleotide ribosomal RNA is filed under the name Bacillus sp. (in: firmicutes). Its description in RNAcentral is "bacterial SSU rRNA". It matches the Rfam family "Bacterial small subunit ribosomal RNA", at positions 613 to 990 of the family's 1533-position model. Lineage: Bacteria; Bacillati; Bacillota; Bacilli; Caryophanales; Bacillaceae. The record is from RNAcentral.